UUUUUUUUCUUUUUUGUUAAGUUUUGUUUAGAUUGUUUAUAUUUUAUAAUCACAAUUAGGGUUUAACUUUUUUUUACAGUUAUACUUGUUAGCUGAUAAGCAUUGUAAAGUGGACCUCCAAUUGGUUUCCCUAAUAGAUUGUCAAGUUUGAAACUGAGGACCUUUAAAGAUAUGCUGAGCAGGCAUACGGAGGAUUGUCUUGUAGGCCUAACUAAAAUGUAUCUUAAAAACACUACACAUGACAAGAAAGAAAUGAAGAGCCAACCUAUUGGUUCUGAUUAUUCUUUGCAGCUAGCUCAGUUUUCAGAAA
This is a long non-coding RNA of Cajanus cajan (pigeon pea), 310 nucleotides long. RefSeq lists it as uncharacterized. Lineage: Eukaryota; Viridiplantae; Streptophyta; Magnoliopsida; Fabales; Fabaceae. The record is from RefSeq and is a predicted model, not a curated record.